AUUUCCCAAAGCGCCUCUCCAGCAAAGGACCCUUGGGACUUUCCCCCUUGUGUGAAGUGUAGGCGCCCUUUAUGGUUUGCGCAGGUGCCCGGCAACAGUUCUUGGUCGCUGUUCUUCCCCAGAGCCGGAAAAGUGUGCCAUUCAUUCCGCUGAGGCUCCAAUCCAGCCCCGCUUCUCGUGGCCCCACGGAAGGCGCCUCUGGAAGGGGGCGUGCCUUUGGGGGAAGCCCCGCUGGGCUCAGGCGCUCUGGGCGGACCGGGCACCGGCCGUAGUACUAGCAGUCGCCCUCCUUUCUUGCUCGUGCACCUUGUCUGAUCCUCGUGGAGUUCUUGAAUCACCAGCCCGGGAAGAUGCCCUCCUGCUGGAUUAGGAGCCUGGCGCCAAAUCCUGCCCUGCUGCUGGCCCUGGGACUCUACAUUAUCCUUGUUCCAUCUAGCAUUACUGCCCGGAGCAACAUAAGCUCAGAGCCCACCAGUCAUGCCAAAGCAAUUGUCUGUCCAGAAGGAUAUAAACAUCGCGAGGACUAUGACAGUGACCCAAUGUGUCCUGGAGUGUGCAUCAACUCUAACUCCACUGUGGUCAAGUGCUCUGAUGAAACUCGUUGUUGUGAAGAUAUCAACGAAUGCCGAAAUCACAACAUAUGUAGUUACCAUGCCAAGUGCAGCAACACUAAGGGAAGCUACAGCUGCAGUUGCAUAAAAGGAUUCCAGCCCAGCACUGGGCAGAAGGUCUUCAAGAAUGCCAGUGAGGUCCAAUGCAUUGACAUUGAUGAAUGCCAGCAACAUGUCUCCAUCUGUGAACCCAAUGGAAAUUGCAUCAACAGUAUAGGUGAUUACCUGUGUAAAUGCAAGCCGGGAUUUGGGAAGAGCUCAAAGGAUGAUAGAAAAAUAUGCAAAGAUGUUGAUGAGUGUCUCUCAAACCCUUGUAGUGAAGGUGCCAAGUGCAAUAACUAUAAUGGGGGAUUUUGGUGUCCGUGCCUACCUGGAUAUAUCAACUACACUGAAGUUACCCCUGAGGGUAAAACAAACAGCAGUUGCAAGUCAUUUUCCUGUUCAGCAUCUUCGAGCAAUAACUGUUCAAGGGAACAGACAUUCAUCUGUGACUUCACAACAGAGUUGGAGGGCAUCUGCAAUUCAUCACUGAGUACCCAGAACCAUAAGGAUAAAAAGGAAGUUCUGAAGGAUAUGCUGAAUCUGCUGGAUGAUCUAUUGAACUCACCUGCACUAAAGAACAAAACUAAGGAGGAAAAACGCUUCAAAGUUACUGAACUUAUGCAUGAGGUAGAGUCCUGGCUCAGACAUUUUGCAGCCACCCUGGCCCAGAAGCCCAUAAGCAUUAAGUCCAACGAUGGCACAGAGCUGGACAUGGAGAUGAGGGCAGCUGGAAGCCACAGUCAGAGCUCAGCACUGCUGUCACAGAAUGGGACACGAAUGGAGUUAAGCUGGGAUGAUGCAGAUAGAGAAGACAAAGCCUUUAGUCUGAUAGGCCUGCUCUCCUACCAGGGCCUUGGGCCUCUUCUGACUGAAGCUCAUAUUGAAGGGAGUGAAAAGGAGGCAGGCCAACCCAUCUGUGAAGUAAUAUUGUCCAAGGUGGCAGCUGCCUUUGUAGGCCGAAAAAACACCGUGUCCUUGAACAUCCCUGUGAAUUUUACAUUCAACCACACGGAAGCUGUACAUCAUCCCUGUUCCUCCUCCAGCAAGAAGCUUGAACAGAGGCAAGUUUGUGCCUUCUGGAAGCCUGUCAGUGGGGGCUGGUCUACCGAAGGCUGCAAACUCCUGGAAUCCAAUGGCCACAGCACCCGCUGCCAGUGCAGCCACCUGACCAGCUUUGCGGUGCUUAUGGCCUUCUAUGAAGUGGAGGAUCACGGUCUGACUGUCAUCACCAAGAUCGGGCUGGUACUCUCUCUGAUCUUCUUGUUCCUCUCCAUCCUCACCUUCCUGUUUUGUCGCUCCAUCCGAGGCAUCCGUACCACCAUCCACCUCCACCUUUGUCUGGCACUCUUUGCUGCCCAUGCCAUCUUCCUGGUGGGUGCUGGGAACACUGUCAAUGAGACAGCAUGUGCUAUAGUGGCUGGGCUGAUGCACUACUUUUUCUUGUCUGCCUUCUGCUGGAUGUUGCUGGAAGGUGUGGAGCUCUACUUGAUGGUAAUUCAGGUCUUCAGAACCCACAAUCUCAAGCACUGGCACCUUAUCUUCAUGGGAUAUGGACUUCCAGCCGUGGUAGUGGGUAUUGCAGCAUCCAUCAACCCCCGAGGCUAUGGCACCAAGAAACACUGCUGGCUGUCAAUGGAACAGGGGUUUCUGUGGAGUUUCUUGGCGCCUGUCUGCCUCAUCAUCCUGAUCAAUGCCAUUGUCUUUGUGGUUACUAUCUGGAAGCUGACUAAGAAAUUUGCAGACAUCAAUCCUGAUAUGAGUCAACUUAAAACGCAGAAGGUGCUUGUAAUCACAGCCAUUGCCCAGCUCUGUGUUUUGGGCACCACUUGGAUCUUCGGCAUGUUUCAGUUCAGCAAUCACAGCCUUGUCAUGUCCUAUAUCUUCACCAUCCUCAACAGCUUACAGGGGCUCUUCAUCUUCAUCCUGCACUGCCUGCUCAAGAAACAGGUGCGAGAUGAUUACUGCCGAUUGCUUUGCUGGCACAGAAGUCCCAAGCCCCAAAGUAGUGACAAGUAUUCAGAGUUCAACUCUACUGGGACUUUCAACACAUUACGGCCACAGAAGUCUUCUCAAGAAUCUGGAAUUUAGCAUCAUCUCCUGAAGUGUGUUCCAAGACUGCAGCUUUGCACAUACACCCCAUCAUUCCAGUAGCCUUUCCCCUGGUGGAGCUACAUCCUGAUACAGGCUUGCUGCAGCAAGGGUGAUAGAAUGGCAUGGAGGCUGCUGGAUAAAGUCCUAGAAGGGCCAGUUACAGUAUUGGACAAAUAGUAUUGAGCUGAUGUUGUCAAGGGGCAUACACUGCCUCUGUGGAACAUGUCUUCCUCCUCUAAGCUCUUCUGGACUCUUCUCACAACCAAAGCCAGUCUACAAGAGUUCUACACAGUGGGAGCAGAAUGGAGGGACAAGGAAGGAGAUGGAAGACUGAGCAAGUAAUGUGAUCUUAACCAGCAAAAUCCAUCAGCCACACAGUGGAGAGUUUUUUGUACAAAGGACAGAACAGCAGCAGCUCAUAAGCAGCAGAAGGAAGGGAAAGCAGUCUUGAGAGCUCAAGGCUGCUAUUGAAACUGAAGCAGGGGAAGAGAGAGAGUGGAGAUUCACAUGAAAUACUGAAUAGUACAGAGCUUCCUUUCUAGUCCAAUUUAUUUAGGGCCAUUUCCCAUUUUGGCAUUCCUUACUGUGGAAUUUAGCUAUGCAUACUGUAGUGCUGGUUGCACCUUACCCCUAGCAUACUGGCACUGCAUAACCCACAUAGGCAGCCAAAAGGACUUCAGUUAGAACAAAUAUGAAUUUAAAAUGGCAAUUUCAAAUGUUGAUUUGGUUGCAUAUCCAGAAACUGAUAAUCUUGUGCAACAAAAUCAAAUUGGAGUCCAAAUAUCAACUACUAUUUGAGCAUAAGAAUUUGACCUUCAAACCUAGCCUUGCAUCUAAUGGUUUUUCCAGCUUUGGUGUGUAUGAACUGCACACAAAAAAAGUAAUGAACUAAUGCAAAACACCUGAGUUAUCACACUUCUGAGAUGGUACUGUUUCAGUUCCGCUAU
Sphaerodactylus townsendi is the source of this 3691-nucleotide RNA transcript. It is a transcript of the gene named adhesion G protein-coupled receptor E5, with no coding region annotated. Lineage: Eukaryota; Metazoa; Chordata; Lepidosauria; Squamata; Sphaerodactylidae. The transcript has 21 exons. The record is from RefSeq and is a predicted model, not a curated record.